RNAcentral lists this ribosomal RNA (253 nucleotides) under uncultured bacterium. Its description in RNAcentral is "partial 16S ribosomal RNA". It matches the Rfam family "Bacterial small subunit ribosomal RNA", at positions 524 to 776 of the family's 1533-position model. The record is from RNAcentral.
UACGUAGGGGGCAAGCGUUGUCCGGAAUCAUUGGGCGUAAAGCGCGUGUAGGCGGCUGACUAAGUCCGCUCUGAAAGCCCGGGGCUCAACCCCGGGAGGCGGGUGGAUACUGGUCAGCUCGAGUCCGGAAGAGGAGUGUGGAAUUCCUGGUGUAGCGGUGAAAUUCGUAGAUAUCGGGAGGAACACCAGUGGCGAAGGCGGCGAUCUGGGAAGAUACUGACGCUGAGGUGCGAAAGCGUGGGGAGCAAACAGG